AUUGUUCUUUGUUUGAGAAGUUGAAACAGGUAUAAUCCAAGACAACCGUGCAAGAAGCAGGUGUCACCCAACGAAGAAGGUACAUGAGUACAAGAAACAGUUUGGCAACAAGGGAUCCACUCGAAAGGUAAGUUUCCACGAGAUUCCCUUUUAUCUUCUACUAAAAUAAGAAAAUUCAAAAAAGGAGGUCAGUUAGUAUCCUUGAACUUUGUCCCCAGCCAGUCAGCUUUAGGGUAUUAAACCCUAAACUGAACUUUUUUCAUUUAGUCAGCAUUAGAGUUUUAAACCCUAAACUAAACUUUUAUCCUUUAGUCAGCAUCAGGGUUUUAAACCCUAAACUGAACUCUUUCCUUUAGUCAGCGUUAGGGUUUUAAACCCUAAACUAAACUUUUCCCUUUAGUCAGCAUCAGGGUUUUAAACCCUAAACUGAACUCUUUCCUUUAGUCAGCAUUAGGGUUUUAAACCCUAAACUGAACUCUUUCCUUCAGUCAGCAUUAGGGUUUU
Molecule: long non-coding RNA, 504 nt
Filed under: Nicotiana tabacum (common tobacco)
Lineage: Eukaryota; Viridiplantae; Streptophyta; Magnoliopsida; Solanales; Solanaceae
Description: long non-coding RNA (NTAB_LNC011906)
Source: RNAcentral